Molecule: long non-coding RNA, 524 nt
Organism: Equus quagga
Lineage: Eukaryota; Metazoa; Chordata; Mammalia; Perissodactyla; Equidae
Exons: 2
Source: RefSeq, a predicted model, not a curated record
UGCUGGAGGCAGCCCUUUCCGGCAGCAGAGCCCAGGCUGGCUGGUUGCGGGCCAGAGGCAAGGAGGGGAGGCUGAGGACGUGCUUCCUGAGUCCUGCCUGGCUCUGCUUGGCCAGCUGGGGUGGCCCCUGUCCUCGGAGUUGAACCAGCUCGUCUCCACUUCCCCAGCUCCUUAACCCAGAGAAACUUCAAUUUCUGCCCUCAAGAUCCUUCACUUUCUGCUGGAACAACCCAUCAUCUAGGCGAAGGGUCUUCCUUGUCUUCUGGAAUGAACACCCGGUGGAUUGGAUCAUGUCAUCGGUUCCUGGUUCAGAGAGCCUUUCAGAGCUUGCUAACAACCCAAGUCCUGCUCUCCCCUUGCUGGUCGUCACACGAGCUCCACCCCGCUGGUCACCAGGCACUUCACGGAGGAGCUUAGGCUGUGCAGACAGAAAGCCUUGGUCUGUGAAGGAACUGGGGGAUGGUGGUCCCCAGCCCUCCUUCCUGCAAUGCCAUCCUUGCAAACAUCGUGCUUCUCAAUUCUAA